RNAcentral lists this ribosomal RNA (492 nucleotides) under uncultured bacterium. RNAcentral's name for it is "partial 16S ribosomal RNA". It matches the Rfam family "Bacterial small subunit ribosomal RNA", at positions 29 to 507 of the family's 1533-position model. The record is from RNAcentral.
AGUGAACGCUGGCGGUAGGCCUAACACAUGCAAGUCGAACGGCAGCACAGUAAGAGCUUGCUCUUACGGGUGGCGAGUGGCGGACGGGUGAGGAAUACAUCGGAAUCUACUUUUUCGUGGGGGAUAACGUAGGGAAACUUACGCUAAUACCGCAGACGACCUACGGGUGAAAGCAUGGGAUCUUCGGACCUUGCGCGAUUGAAUGAGCCGAUGUCGGAUUAGCUAGUUGGCGGGGUAAAGGCCCACCAAGGCGACGAUCCGUAGCUGGUCUGAGAGGAUGAUCAGCCACACUGGAACUGAGACACGGUCCAGACUCCUACGGGAGGCAGCAGUGGGGAAUAUUGGACAAUGGGCGCAAGCCUGAUCCAGCCAUACCGCGUGGGUGAAGAAGGCCUUCGGGUUGUAAAGCCCUUUUGUUGGGAAAGAAAAGCAGCAGGUUAAUACCCCGCUGUUCUGACGGUACCCAAAGAAUAAGCACCGGCUAACUUCGUG